UUGCUACCCAAUUCACAGCUUUUGAUAACUCACAUGCCUAGUUACUAUUGCUCUAGUUUACAGAAGCAUAGACUGAAUAGAACAAAAGUAACUAAACAUUAAACUUAUGCAUUAUCACUUUAUAUUUACUGAGAUCGAGGGAUCGAAACAGUGUGUUUUGUGGACCAGAGCCACUUAUAGAUAGUAUAUAAGUGUUAAAGUAUGAAUCAUUCACCGAUUCAUUGGAGUGAACUUAAUUUGAAACCAAAACUGGAUAAAUGGAACGCCGUAAAUAAAAAGUUUAAAAAAUGAACUUUGAAACUUUGCGAUUGACACGCAUGCGUAUUGCACCCAUUUUAUUAUUGACUGGUCAAUAAAUGUUUCGUUGCGGACCGGUUGCCGAACAUGAGGUUUUGUGGACCGGCACGUGACACGGUUUUGACUAAUCGGCAAAUAGAAAAAUUGAACUUUGACACUAACUAACAAUAAGAGUUAUAAGACUAUAUAACAAUAAGAGUUAGUUAACUUUGUUCUAUUUUAUGCUUUUGUAAUCUAGAACCAUAGUAACUAUAGGCAUGUGUGUUAUAUAAAGUUGUGAAUUGGGUAUAAACAAACGUUACCCAAAUUUGUCUAAUCGAGCUAGACUUGGGUCAGUACACGCAUUUUCAUAAAAAUAGCAACCCUUCGGCUAAACAGGAUUCUGAUUAUCAUAUUGAGCGACAUCAAAAUCAUGGGAGUUUCUGCAAAGUGCAUUAAACCGAUAUUCCCUGUAGCACUAUUUCAUGACCUAAACAUCGCACAGAGACACUUAUGUAAGUUUUCUACUCACAUUGGUCGUUCAGACAUGCACCUCCCGCCGUGGGAGCGGCAGAUCAAGGUCAUAAUCAGGAGAUUAUGGUAUUGUGUCAAUGUAUUGACGAAGUUCUUAUUAUAUUACCAGUAUAUUAUUUAAUAACAUUAAAAUAUAUCAGGGUCGUAGACACCAGCAGAAUCGUUGUAACUGUACUACUGCAUGUAUGUGUAUAUUGAAAGUGUAUAAUUAGUGCAAGCGUAGUAAAGUUAAGUAUAAAUGUAAAGCAAUUCGAAUUCAAGAAUGUUCUGCACAAGAUCGCUUGUAUAUAUUGUAAUUAUAUUUUCACAAAAUUGUAUAUAUUCUUUUGAACAAGCUAAAAAAGUUUACUCAUGGGUAAUAAAUCAGCUUAUUUUAACUCUUCAAUUACUAGUGUCGCUGAUCGGCGAACACGCGAAUGUAAACAAACAGCUAAAAAUAGAUCCAAUUUGGAGAUUUAUAACUUUUCAGAAAAUUGCUUGCAGACGAGUUUUAUUCCUGAUUACUUAACUUCAGUAGGUAUACUUUCAAAUUACAUGCCAUUUGAACUUCAGAUAGGUGCCACUUUUGAGCUAUUUUAAGUAAAAUAUGAGCAAUUUUCAGCCUCUCGUCGCCAUCUUGAAAACAUAGUUUCGUAAAACUAUUAAAAAAAUCGUAUUAAGCAAAUAAAGUUGUUCAAUCUCCGUGUAAGCGAGAGUAUUAGUGUUAAUCUUGCAUGUGAACAGUAACUGGAGGGGAUAAAGGCAUUACAACGUUUUUAAAAAAUCAGAUGAAUUCUUGUAAAAUUCCCCUUCAUUUCCGGUCUGAAAAUAUUCUCGCAAGGUCAAAUUUUAACAUGGCUAUAACUCCUAUAAAACAGAAAGUUGAAACGUUCUGAAAGAAGCUCGAUUAAUAUUGACCAAAGUCUAGUUCAUAUGCAAAAUAUGAG
Paramuricea clavata is the source of this 1736-nucleotide non-coding RNA. NCBI's taxonomy places the organism in Eukaryota, Metazoa, Cnidaria, Anthozoa, Malacalcyonacea, Plexauridae. The record is from the annotation of a GenBank genome assembly.